GACGAACGCUGGCGGCGUGCUUAACACAUGCAAGUCGAGCGGAAAGGCCACUUCGGUGGUACUCGAGCGGCGAACGGGUGAGUAACACGUGAGUAAUCUGCCCCCUGGCUUUGGGAUAGCCACCGGAAACGGUGAUUAAUACCGGAUACGACCACUUCUCGCAUGGGAUGGUGGUGGAAAGUUUUUUCGGCCAGGGAUGUGCUCGCGGCCUAUCAGCUUGAUGGUGAGGUAAUGGCUCACCAUGGCUUCGACGGGUAGCCGGCCUGAGAGGGUGACCGGUCGCACUGGGACUGAGACACGGCCCAGACUCCUACGGGAGGCAGCAGUGGGGAAUAUUGGACAAUGGGCGGAAGCCUGAUCCAGCAACGCCGCGCGAGGGAUGACGGCCUUCGGGUUGUAAACCUCUUUCAGCAGGGACGAAGCGCAAGUGACGGUACCUGCAGAAGAAGCACCGGCCAACUACGUGCCAGCCGCCGCCGUAA
This 482-nucleotide ribosomal RNA is filed under the name uncultured bacterium. RNAcentral's name for it is "partial 16S ribosomal RNA". It matches the Rfam family "Bacterial small subunit ribosomal RNA", at positions 28 to 523 of the family's 1533-position model. The record is from RNAcentral.